UACGUAGGGGGCAAGCGUUGUCCGGAAUCAUUGGGCGUAAAGAGCGUGUAGGCGGCCCGAUAAGUCCGCUGUGAAAGUCCAGGGCUUAACCCUGGACCUGCAUUCGAUACGGGCAGACUAGAGUUCGGUAGGGGAGACUGGAAUUCCUGGUGUAGCGGUGAAAUGCGCAGAUAUCAGGAGGAACACCGGUGGCGAAGGCGGGUCUCUGGGCCGAUACUGACGCUGAGGAGCGAAAGCGUGGGGAGCGAACAGG
RNAcentral lists this ribosomal RNA (253 nucleotides) under uncultured bacterium. RNAcentral describes it as "partial 16S ribosomal RNA". It matches the Rfam family "Bacterial small subunit ribosomal RNA", at positions 524 to 776 of the family's 1533-position model. The record is from RNAcentral.